This 1150-nucleotide ribosomal RNA is filed under the name uncultured bacterium. RNAcentral's name for it is "bacterial SSU rRNA". It matches the Rfam family "Bacterial small subunit ribosomal RNA", at positions 62 to 1213 of the family's 1533-position model. The record is from RNAcentral.
UCGAGGGGUAACAGAGAGAAGCUUGCUUCUUUGCUGACGACCGGCGCACGGGUGCGUAACGCGUAUACAAUCUACCUUUUGCUGAGGGAUAGCCCAGAGAAAUUUGGAUUAAUACCUCAUAGUAUAUAUGAAUCGCAUGGUUUAUAUAUUAAAGGUUACGGCAGAAGAUGAGUAUGCGUUCUAUUAGCUAGAUGGUGUGGUAACGGCACACCAUGGCAACGAUAGAUAGGGGCCCUGAGAGGGGGAUCCCCCACACUGGUACUGAGACACGGACCAGACUCCUACGGGAGGCAGCAGUGAGGAAUAUUGGACAAUGGGCGAGAGCCUGAUCCAGCCAUGCCGCGUGCAGGAAGACUGCCCUAUGGGUUGUAAACUGCUUUUAUACAGGAAGAAACACUCCCUCGUGAGGGAGCUUGACGGUACUGUAAGAAUAAGGAUCAGCUAACUCCGUGCCAGCAGCCGCGGUAAUACGGAGGAUCCAAGCGUUAUCCGGAAUCAUUGGGUUUAAAGGGUCCGUAGGUGGAUAAUUAAGUCAGAGGUGAAAGUCUGCAGCUCAACUGUAGAAUUGCCUUUGAUACUGGUUAUCUUGAAUUAUUAUGAAGUAGUUAGAAUAUGUAGUGUAGCGGUGAAAUGCAUAGAUAUUACAUAGAAUACCAAUUGCGAAGGCAGAUUACUAAUAAUAUAUUGACACUGAUGGACGAAAGCGUGGGGAGCGAACAGGAUUAGAUACCCUGGUAGUCCACGCCGUAAACGAUGGAUACUAGCUGUUCGGAUUUAUCUGAGUGGCUAAGCGAAAGUGAUAAGUAUCCCACCUGGGGAGUACGUUCGCAAGAAUGAAACUCAAAGGAAUUGACGGGGGCCCGCACAAGCGGUGGAGCAUGUGGUUUAAUUCGAUGAUACGCGAGGAACCUUACCAGGGCUUAAAUGUAAGUUGCAUGAUUUAGAGAUAGAUCUUUCUUCGGACUACUUACAAGGUGCUGCAUGGUUGUCGUCAGCUCGUGCCGUGAGGUGUCAGGUUAAGUCCUAUAACGAGCGCAACCCCUGUUGUUAGUUGCCAGCGAUUCAAGUCGGGAACUCUAACAAGACUGCCAGUGCAAACUGUGAGGAAGGUGGGGAUGACGUCAAAUCAUCACGGCCCUUACGUCCUGGG